GGAGGGGUGGCCGAGUGGUUAAUGGCAGCAGACUGUAAAUCUGCCGGCGAGAGCCUACGUGAGUUCAAAUCUUACCCCCUCCACCA
Molecule: transfer RNA, 86 nt
Filed under: Holosporaceae bacterium
Lineage: Bacteria; Pseudomonadati; Pseudomonadota; Alphaproteobacteria; Holosporales; Holosporaceae
Description: tRNA-Tyr
Rfam family: tRNA
About the family: Transfer RNA (tRNA) molecules are approximately 80 nucleotides in length. Their secondary structure includes four short double-helical elements and three loops (D, anti-codon, and T loops).
Source: RNAcentral